UCCCUGGUGGUCCAGUGGCUAAGACUCUGCACUCCUAAUGUGGAGGGCCUGGUUUCAAUCCCUGAUCAGGGAA
Molecule: transfer RNA, 73 nt
Filed under: Bos taurus (domestic cattle)
Lineage: Eukaryota; Metazoa; Chordata; Mammalia; Artiodactyla; Bovidae
Also listed under: 5 other names
Rfam family: tRNA
About the family: Transfer RNA (tRNA) molecules are approximately 80 nucleotides in length.
Source: Rfam by way of RNAcentral